This 232-nucleotide ribosomal RNA is filed under the name uncultured bacterium. RNAcentral describes it as "partial 16S ribosomal RNA". It matches the Rfam family "Bacterial small subunit ribosomal RNA", at positions 796 to 1041 of the family's 1533-position model. The record is from RNAcentral.
CACGCCGUAAACGUUGAGAACUAAGUGUUGGGGAGACCCAGUGCUGAAGCUAACGCAUUAAGUUCUCCGCCUGAGGAGUACGCACGCAAGUGUAAAACUUAAAGGAAUUAACGGGGGCCCGCACAAGCAGUGGAGCAUGUGGUUUAAUUCGAGGCUACGCGAAGAACCUUACCAGGGCUUGACAGGAAACUUAAGACCCUAGAGAUAGGGGGAUAAUAAGUGAAACAGGUGG